GAUGAACGCUGGCGGCGUGCCUAAUACAUGCAAGUCGAGCGAACAGACGAGGAGCUUGCUCCUCUGACGUUAGCGGCGGACGGGUGAGUAACACGUGGAUAACCUACCUAUAAGACUGGGAUAACUUCGGGAAACCGGAGCUAAUACCGGAUAAUAUAUUGAACCGCAUGGUUCAAUAGUGAAAGACGGUUUUGCUGUCACUUAUAGAUGGAUCCGCGCCGCAUUAGCUAGUUGAUAAGGUAACGGCUUACCAAGGCGACGAUGCGUAGCCGACCUGAGAGGGUGAUCGGCCACACUGGAACUGAGACACGGUCCAGACUCCUACGGGAGGCAGCAGUAGGGAAUCUUCCGCAAUGGGCGAAAGCCUGACGGAGCAACGCCGCGUGAGUGAUGAAGGUCUUCGGAUCGUAAAACUCUGUUAUUAGGGAAGAACAAAUGUGUAAGUAACUAUGCACGUCUUGACGGUACCUAAUCAGAAAGCCGCGGCUAACUACGUG
Molecule: ribosomal RNA, 497 nt
Filed under: uncultured bacterium
Lineage: Bacteria
Description: partial 16S ribosomal RNA
Rfam family: Bacterial small subunit ribosomal RNA
Source: RNAcentral